AACGCACCUUGCGCCCUUUGGUAAUCCGAGGGGCAUGCCUGUUUGAGUGUCUUGAAGCUCUCAAACCUUUGCUUGAUUGUGAAGGUUUGGAUUUGGGUGUCUUUUUUUUGCCGGUCGCAAGAUCGGCUCACCCUAAAUGCAUUAGCUGGCUUUUGGGUCCGCGACUCGGUGUGAUAAUUGUCACUCGCCGUCAGCGGGCUUGCUAAGGAAGCUGCUUCCAGUCGCCCUCCCACGAGGGCAACCGUCUAAGUGUUUGACCUCAAAUCAGGUAGGACUACCCGCUGAACUUAA
Molecule: unclassified non-coding RNA, 291 nt
Filed under: uncultured fungus
Lineage: Eukaryota; Fungi
Description: partial contains 5.8S ribosomal RNA, internal transcribed spacer 2, and large subunit ribosomal RNA
Rfam family: 5.8S ribosomal RNA (bases 1-52)
Source: RNAcentral